This 501-nucleotide ribosomal RNA is filed under the name uncultured bacterium. Its description in RNAcentral is "partial 16S ribosomal RNA". It matches the Rfam family "Bacterial small subunit ribosomal RNA", at positions 30 to 523 of the family's 1533-position model. The record is from RNAcentral.
AUUGAACGCUGGCGGCAGGCUUAACACAUGCAAGUCGAGCGGAGAGAGGUAGCUUGCUACUGAUCUUAGCGGCGGACGGGUGAGUAAUGCUUAGGAAUCUGCCUAUUAGUGGGGGACAACAUUUCGAAAGGAAUGCUAAUACCGCAUACGUCCUACGGGAGAAAGCAGGGGAUCUUCGGACCUUGCGCUAAUAGAUGAGCCUAAGUCGGAUUAGCUAGUUGGUGGGGUAAAGGCCUACCAAGGCGACGAUCUGUAGCGGGUCUGAGAGGAUGAUCCGCCACACUGGGACUGGGACACGGCCCAGACUCCUACGGGAGGCAGCAGUGGGGAAUAUUGGACAAUGGGCGCAAGCCUGAUCCGGCCAUGCCGCGUGUGUGAAGAAGGCCUUAUGGUUGUAAAGCACUUUAAGCGAGGAGGAGGCUACUUUAGUUAAUACCUAGAGAUAGUGGACGUUACUCGCAGAAUAAGCACCGGCUAACUCUGUGCCAGCCGCCGCCGUAA